RNAcentral lists this long non-coding RNA (339 nucleotides) under Lathyrus oleraceus (garden pea). Its description in RNAcentral is "Pisum sativum (pea) long non-coding RNA (PSAT_LNC011410)". Lineage: Eukaryota; Viridiplantae; Streptophyta; Magnoliopsida; Fabales; Fabaceae. The record is from RNAcentral.
UUGGUCAAAACCUAAAACCUCUUCAAACACCAAAUAAAUGGCCAAGACAUUUAUCCUAGGUCAAACAAGGUCAAAGGACCUUAGACAAAAAAAUUCAUGAUUUUUAAAAAGUCAGAAGUAUUUUUAAACAAAUAAAAAUAUGCACAAAAUCAAUUAAUUCAUGAAAAAUAUCAAAAUUAAUCCAAAAAAAAAAUUAAUUCAUAAAAGGAAAUCGGAAAAUAUUUAAAGAUUUUUGGUGAAAGUCCCAUAUUUUUUGGAUUAAAAAUGAAAUUAAUAUGAAUAAAAUAAAAUAAAGGGAUUAAAUGAAAAAUCAGAAAAUAAAAAGAAAUUAAAAAAACA